AGGAUGAACGCUGGCGGCGUGCUUAACACAUGCAAGUCGAACGAUGAACCUCACUUGUGGGGGAUUAGUGGCGAACGGGUGAGUAACACGUGAGUAACCUGCCCUUAACUCUGGGAUAAGCCUGGGAAACUGGGCCUAAUACCGGAUAUGACUCCUCAUCGCAUGGUGGGGGGUGGAAAGCUUUUUUGUGGUUUUGGAUGGACUCGCGGCCUAUCAGCUUGUUGGUGAGGUAAUGGCUCACCAAGGCGACG
RNAcentral lists this ribosomal RNA (251 nucleotides) under uncultured soil bacterium. RNAcentral describes it as "partial 16S ribosomal RNA". It matches the Rfam family "Bacterial small subunit ribosomal RNA", at positions 26 to 278 of the family's 1533-position model. The record is from RNAcentral.